Molecule: long non-coding RNA, 290 nt
Filed under: Gossypium raimondii (Peruvian cotton)
Lineage: Eukaryota; Viridiplantae; Streptophyta; Magnoliopsida; Malvales; Malvaceae
Description: long non-coding RNA (GRAI_LNC007403)
Source: RNAcentral
AGCUAGCUAAAAUUGAGGAGUACGGGCGUUCGUGAAGUUGCCGAAGUAAGUGAUUGAAAAAAAUCGAGCAAAAAAAAGAAAGAAAAAAAUUGAAAAAAAAUAAAAAUUGAAAAAAAAGAGGAUUUCGUGAAUUUUGAAGAUAUUUUGGUAUUAUUCAAUUGUAUUUGAAGUGAAAAAAAAAUCGAAGUAUAAAAAAAAGAAGAAGAAGUGAAAAGUUUUGCGAGUUUUAUUUUGUUAUCAAUUCUUGUUACUUCCAAACAUCCAUUCAUUCUACCAUUCCUUCUACCCCC